GACGAACGCUGGCGGCGUGCUUAACACAUGCAAGUCGAACGGAAAGGCCCUGCUUUUGUGGGGUGCUCGAGUGGCGAACGGGUGAGUAACACGUGAGUAACCUGCCCUUGACUUUGGGAUAACUUCAGGAAACUGGGGCUAAUACCGGAUAGGAGCUCCUGCUGCAUGGUGGGGGUUGGAAAGUUUCGGCGGUUGGGGAUGGACUCGCGGCUUAUCAGCUUGUUGGUGGGGUAGUGGCUUACCAAGGCUUUGACGGGUAGCCGGCCUGAGAGGGUGGCCGGCCACAUUGGGCCUAAGAUACGGCCCAGCCUCCUACGGGAGGCAGCAGUGGGGAAUAUUGCCCAAUGGGCGGAAGCCUGAUGCAGCGACGCCGCGUGCGGGAUGACGGCCUUCGGGUUGUAAACCGCUUUCGCCUGUGACGAAGCGUGAGUGACGGUAAUGGGUAAAGAAGCACCGGCUAACUACGUG
RNAcentral lists this ribosomal RNA (468 nucleotides) under uncultured bacterium. RNAcentral describes it as "partial 16S ribosomal RNA". It matches the Rfam family "Bacterial small subunit ribosomal RNA", at positions 28 to 507 of the family's 1533-position model. The record is from RNAcentral.